GAAUAUUAGUAAUGGGCGAAAGCCUGAACUAGCGACACCGCGUGUGCGAAGAAGGCCUUCGGGUUGUAAAGCACUUUUAGAGAGGAUGAGGAAGGACGGUACUCUCUGAAUAAGUCUCGGCUAACUACGUGCCAGCAGCCGCGGUAACACGUAGGAGGCAAACGUUAUCCGGAUUUACUGGGCGUAAAGCGCGUGUAGGUGGUUCUGUAAGUAGGGCGUGAAAGCUCCCGGCUCAACUGGGAGAGGCCGUUCUAAACUGCAGAGCUAGAGGAUGGUAGAGGGAGGUGGAAUUCCGGGUGUAGCGGUGGAAUGCGCAGAUAUCCGGAGGAACACCAGUGGCGAAGGCGACCUCCUGGGCCACUCCUGACACUCAGACGCGAAAGCUAGGGUAGCAAACGG
RNAcentral lists this ribosomal RNA (399 nucleotides) under uncultured bacterium. Its description in RNAcentral is "bacterial SSU rRNA". It matches the Rfam family "Bacterial small subunit ribosomal RNA", at positions 359 to 775 of the family's 1533-position model. The record is from RNAcentral.